This 484-nucleotide ribosomal RNA is filed under the name uncultured bacterium. Its description in RNAcentral is "partial 16S ribosomal RNA". It matches the Rfam family "Bacterial small subunit ribosomal RNA", at positions 30 to 507 of the family's 1533-position model. The record is from RNAcentral.
AUUGAACGCUGGCGGCAGGCCUAACACAUGCAAGUCGAGCGGAUGAAGGGAGCUUGCUCCUGGAUUCAGCGGCGGACGGGUGAGUAAUGCCUAGGAAUCUGCCUGGUAGUGGGGGAUAACGUCCGGAAACGGGCGCUAAUACCGCAUACGUCCUGAGGGAGAAAGUGGGGGAUCUUCGGACCUCACGCUAUCAGAUGAGCCUAGGUCGGAUUAGCUAGUUGGUGGGGUAAAGGCCUACCAAGGCGACGAUCCGUAACUGGUCUGAGAGGAUGAUCAGUCACACUGGAACUGAGACACGGUCCAGACUCCUACGGGAGGCAGCAGUGGGGAAUAUUGGACAAUGGGCGAAAGCCUGAUUCAGCCAUGCCGCGUGUGUGAAGAAGGUCUUCGGAUUGUAAAGCACUUUAAGUUGGGAGGAAGGGCAGUAAGUUAAUACCCUGCUGUUUUGACGUUACCAACAGAAUAAGCACCGGCUAACUUCGUG